ACAGAGGCCUCGAGCGUUAGGCGGAAUUACUGGGCGUAAAGGGUGCGUAGGUGGUUUGAUAAGUGAGGUGUGAAAGUCCUGGGCUUAACCUGGGGACUGCGCUUAAUACUGUCGAGCUAGAGUACUGUAGAGGAAGGUGGAAUUUCCGGUGUAGCGGUGAAAUGCGUAGAUAUCGGAAGGAACAUCAGUGGCGAAGGCGACUUACUGGACACAUAUUGACGCUGAGGUGCGAAAGCGUGGGGAGCAAACAGG
RNAcentral lists this ribosomal RNA (252 nucleotides) under uncultured bacterium. Its description in RNAcentral is "partial 16S ribosomal RNA". It matches the Rfam family "Bacterial small subunit ribosomal RNA", at positions 525 to 776 of the family's 1533-position model. The record is from RNAcentral.